Molecule: ribosomal RNA, 460 nt
Filed under: uncultured bacterium
Lineage: Bacteria
Description: partial 16S ribosomal RNA
Rfam family: Bacterial small subunit ribosomal RNA
Source: RNAcentral
CCUACGGGCGGCAGCAGUGAGGAAUAUUGGUCAAUGGACGAGAGUCUGAACCAGCCAAGUAGCGUGAAGGAUGACUGCCCUAUGGGUUGUAGACUUCUUUUAUAUGGGAAUAAAAUGUUCCACGUGUGGGAUUUUGUAGGUACCAUAUGAAUAAGGAUCGGCUAACUCCGUGCCAGCAGCCGCGGUAAUACGGAGGAUCCGAGCGGUAUCCGGAUUUAUUGGGUGUAAAGGGAGCGUAGGUGGAUUUGUAAGUCAGUUGUGAAAGCUUGCGGCUCAACCGUAAAAUUGCAGUUGAAACUGGGAGUCUAGAGUACAGUAGAGGUGGGCGGAAUUCGUGGUGUAGCGGUGAAAUGCUUAGAUAUCACGAAGAACUCCGAUUGCGAAGGUAGCCCACUGGACUGCAACUGACACUGAGGCUCGAAAGUGUGGGUAUCAAACAGGAUUAGAUACCCCGGUAGUC